GUUGGAUCGCAAGUGGAAAGGGACUUUUGUUUUGAGUGAAAAAAAAAAAGAGACUUUUAUUUUGAAAAGGGAAGUGGAGACUUUACAGUUCUCAUGCCAGAAAGCAGGAAGUGCAGAGCUAUCUUCAAGCACAUGUAGUAAGAAGCUGUGAAGUUUAGCUGAGAAGCACAUGGUGAAUUGUUAUUGAAGAUAAAGGGUGAAGUGGGGAAAUACUUUACUUGCUGGGCAUUUCCAGGGAUGCUACUGGUUUUCAACCUGACGCAAUCUGACAUAGCCUGAUGUAAACUGAUUUAAUCUGAGUUAAACUUCUGAUUAUUUG
Alosa sapidissima (American shad) is the source of this 319-nucleotide long non-coding RNA. RefSeq lists it as uncharacterized. The transcript has 2 exons. NCBI's taxonomy places the organism in Eukaryota, Metazoa, Chordata, Actinopteri, Clupeiformes, Clupeidae. The record is from RefSeq and is a predicted model, not a curated record.